RNAcentral lists this ribosomal RNA (333 nucleotides) under Triticum aestivum (bread wheat). Its description in RNAcentral is "partial small subunit ribosomal RNA". The record is from RNAcentral. Lineage: Eukaryota; Viridiplantae; Streptophyta; Magnoliopsida; Poales; Poaceae.
AUGCCUGUAGGUUUCUGUGAAAAUUAUGAGGAAGUGAUACGAGAGUUUUGGUGGGGCGAAGAGGAGGGCCAAAGGAAGGUGCAUUGGAUGGCAUGGGAUAAAAUGGCGAAGCCCAAGAGAGGAGGCGGUAUUGGAUUUAGAGAUAUGCAUAUGUUCAACCAAGCGCUGUUAGCAAGGCAAGGGUGGAGAUUGUUACAGAAACCAGGAAGCCUUUGUGCGAGAGUGCUCAAAUCAAAAUACUAUGUCACGCCCUCGAUGCGGCUAUAUCUCCCACGUGUCGAAGCACGACUUAGAGGCAUAACCACAUUGAAAGCAAUGUCACAAGUGAGAUAA